UACGUAGGGUGCAAGCGUUAAUCGGAAUUACUGGGCGUAAAGCGUGCGCAGGCGGUUAUGUAAGACAGAGGUGAAAACCCCGGGCUCAACCUGGGAACUGCCUUUGUGACUGCAUAGGUGGAGUACGGCAGAGGGGGAUGGAAUUCCGCGUGUAGCAGUGAAAUGCGUAGAUAUGCGGAGGAACACCGAUGGCGAAGGCAGUCCCCUGGGCCUGUACUGACGCUCAUGCACGAAAGCGUGUGGAGCAAACAGG
This 253-nucleotide ribosomal RNA is filed under the name uncultured bacterium. RNAcentral describes it as "partial 16S ribosomal RNA". It matches the Rfam family "Bacterial small subunit ribosomal RNA", at positions 524 to 776 of the family's 1533-position model. The record is from RNAcentral.